UUCUAGUCAUCGGUAAUAAAUCCCCCCCAAUAACGAGACUACGCUCCGCAUUGAGGGUAAAACAAGAUCUGGCUUUAAUGUGGGCUACCCGCCCAUAUUUAUGCAGGUAUCCCACUUGGUGGACACUCCCCUAGGGGACCAAAUGGGAGACUGUGAUGGCAGAUGGACACAUGGACAUUUCUGACAUACAGGCACAAACUUCCCACAAUGCAAUAUGGUUUCCUCCCCUCUGCCCUGGAGAUAAUUGAGAAGUAAUUCAAUUAUCUCCAGGACAAAGACAAAUCGCCAUCUUAAGUAAAAUACCAGAAAACACACAAAAAUACAUAAUUCCACAACUACCGAACAUUUUACAUUCGUAUCACAUAUACCCAGAUAGCCUGGAUCUGAGGGCAUAUUAUUAGCGAGUAGCGCUCAGAUCCCAUACGCAUAGUUCAAUCGCUAUGGAGUCAAAUUUCUUACAGUCUUUCGGUAUGCGAUUGACUCCAUGGGAAGGCUAUCUGGGGUAAGUCUCUUCAUGUAAUUCAAAACUCCCGAACGGCCGGUGUUCGUCGACGGAGAAAGGUGACCUGUUGUUUCAGCGGUGUUCGGCAGAAAAAGUGUCUGUUUUUAGUUCCAUGAAAUCAAUGCCAAACACCGCUGGUCUUUCGUGCAAUCUAAAAUGGCCACUGCCUCGUGGUCGACAUGCGAACGACGACCACCCUGUAUUCGGUUUUAAUUGAGAAGUGUCUGCGGUUAACCACAACGUUCUAAUUGGGAUCAAGAGGUUAACCAGCAGCACACUUCUAGUCUGGGUGGCCGUCCGUUCAGUAGAUUUAUUCGGUAAAAAGUCAAUCAUACGCAUGGGCUAUAGAAACAGGCAAUUUCCACGAAUGGAAGGCAAACCAGAUGAAUCCACAAUUAAUAAUCAUACAGAUGGGUCUGUCACAAUUUAGUUAUACUGAAUAUCUCCCCAGGUGUAUAACUGUGAUGAAUUGAGAACUUAAUAGCAAAUUGUAGGCCAGAAUAUCUUGAAAAAUCUUCUUUGGUGACCAUUUUAAAUCCAUAAAAUAAAAAUCUAUAUUGCUGACUUUUUAUAUAUAUUGGAUUAUACCAAUUACACUUUGUUUUCACAACUUCUUCGAUACAUUUUAGUGAAAUUAAUCUACAGAGGACCCUAUUGAUGUCAAUGUGGACUCUGAAGAUGAGACCUGUUAAUGUUGCCAGUAGAUUUUUCC
Molecule: non-coding RNA, 1214 nt
Organism: Pelobates cultripes (western spadefoot toad)
Lineage: Eukaryota; Metazoa; Chordata; Amphibia; Anura; Pelobatidae
Source: the annotation of a GenBank genome assembly